Small nuclear RNA from Gracilinanus agilis (Agile Gracile Mouse Opossum), 108 nucleotides. The record is from RefSeq and is a predicted model, not a curated record. NCBI's taxonomy places the organism in Eukaryota, Metazoa, Chordata, Mammalia, Didelphimorphia, Didelphidae.
CCAUGUACUUGCUUCAAUGGCAAUAGUAAAAUUGGAAUGUUUAAGAGAAGAUUAGCACAAUCUCUACUCAAGGAUGACAUAAAAAUUCAUGAAGUGUUCCAUAUUUUU